UCUAAAAAAACCAGAUCCCUAAUCAGCUAAUGAAGCUAACAAGCUAAAAGCUUCUCAAGGACUGGAAAUAUAUCUCUUAGGAUUCCCGAAGCCAGAAGCGACCCCAUACAUUGUAGAGGAGCGUUCCGUUCAGCAGUGAAGCUUCGUCGCGAGACGGGGUGGAGCGGACGGAAGUGAGAAUGUUGGCAUGAGUAACUACUAGGCAGGUGAAAACCCUGCCCGCCGAAUCCCCAAGGUUUCCCACGUAACGGCAAUCGGCGUGGGGUUAGUCGGGCCUAAGGUGAGGCCGAAAGGCGUAACCGAUGGACAACAGGUAAAU
Molecule: self-splicing intron, 319 nt
Filed under: Candidatus Peregrinibacteria bacterium GW2011_GWA2_54_9
Lineage: Bacteria; Candidatus Peregrinibacteriota
Rfam family: Bacterial large subunit ribosomal RNA
Source: RNAcentral